RNAcentral lists this ribosomal RNA (425 nucleotides) under uncultured bacterium. RNAcentral's name for it is "partial 16S ribosomal RNA". It matches the Rfam family "Bacterial small subunit ribosomal RNA", at positions 354 to 796 of the family's 1533-position model. The record is from RNAcentral.
GUUAGGAAUAUUGGACAAUGGGCGCAAGCCUGAUCCAGCCAUGCCGCGUGAACGAUGAAGGCCUUCGGGUUGUAAAGUUCUUUAGCCGAUGAUUAUAAUGACUGUAGUCGGAAAAUAAGCCCCGGCUAACUUCGUGCCAGCAGCCGCGGUAAUACGAAGGGGGCGAGCGUUAUUCGGAAUCACUGGGCGUAAAGCGUGCGUAGGCGGUCUCGUAGGUUAGGAGUGAAAGCCCAGGGCUCAACCUUGGAAUUGCUCUUAAUACUGCAAGGCUAGAAUCUCAGAUAGGAUAGCGGAAUUUCCAGUGUAGCAGUGAAAUGCGUAGAUAUUGGAAGGAACACCAGUGGCGUAAGCGGAUAUCUGGACGAGUAUUGACGCUGAGGCACGAAAGCGUGGGGAUCAAACAGGAUUAGAAACCCCUGUAGUCC